GACGAACGCUGGCGGCGUGCUUAAUGAAUGCGAGUCGAGCGAGAACCGGACUGAGGAAACCUUCGGGUGGAAUCAGUCUGGGGAGAGCGGCAAACGGGUGAGUAACACGUGGGUAACCUGCCCCUCAGACGGGGAUAAUUCGCCGAAAGGCGGACUAAUACCCGAUGGUGAUGUGCCAACACAUGUUGAUACAUCUAAAGGCUCCGGUGCUGAGGGAGGGGUCCGCGGCCGAUUAGCUUGUUGGUAGGGUAACGGCCUACCAAGGCUUCGAUCGGUAGCCGGUCUGAGAGGAUGACCGGUCACACUGGGACUGAGACAUGGUCCAGACUCCUACGGGGGUUAGCAUCAGGGAAUCUUGCGCAAUGGGCGAAAGCCUGACGCAGCGACGCCGCGUGGGUGAUGAAGGCCUGCGGGUCGUAAAGCCCUGUCGGGAGGGAAGAAACAGCACCUUCGGGUGCUUUGACUGUACCUCCGGAGGAAGCCCCGGCUAAUUACGUGCCAGCAGCCGCGGUAAUACGUAAGGGGCCAGCGUUGUCCGGAAUUACUGGGCGUAAAGAGCACGUAGGCGGUUAGGAAAGCGAUAGGUGAAAUCCCCCGGCUCAACCGAGGAACUGCUUAUCGAACUGCCUGACUAGAGCACGGGAGAGGGCACUGGAAUUCCUGGUGUAGCGGUGGAAUGCGUAUAUAUCAGGAGGAACACCGGUGGCGAANGCUGGUGCCUGGGAACGUUGCUGACGCUAANGUGCGAAAGCCAGGGGAACAAACGGGAUUAGAUACCCCGGUAGUCCUGGCCGUAAACGAUGGACACUAGGUGUUGGAGGUUCGACCCCUUCAGUGCUGUUAAGCUAACGCGUUAAGUGUCCCGCCUGGGGAGUACGGUCGCAAGGCUGAAACUCAAAGGAAUUGACGGGGGCCCGCACAAGCGGUGGAGCAUGUGGGUCAAUGGGAUGAUACGCCGAGAACCUUACCAGGGCUUGACAUGACCCUGAUCCCCUGCGAAAGCAGGUCUUCUGGGCAACCAGACAGGGCCACAGGUGGUGCAUGGUUGUCGACGGCUCGUGUCGUGAGAUGUUGGGUUAAGUCCCGCAACGAGCGCAACCCUCGCCGGAUGUUGCCAGCGGUUAGGCCGGGCACUCUUCCGGGACUGCCGGAGUAAUCCGGAGGAAGGGGGGGAUGACGUCAAAUCUGCAUGCCCCUUAUGUCCUGGGCUGCACACGUGCUACAAUGGCGAGUACAAAGGGUCGCGAAGCCGCGAGGCCCAGCUAAUCCCCAAAAACUCGUCCCAGUUCGGAUUGGAGUCUGCAACUCGACUCCAUGAAGUCGGAAUCGCUAGUAACCGUGGAUCAGCAAUGCCGCGGUGAAUACGUUCCCGGGCCUUGUACACACCGCCCGUCAAGUCACGGAAGCCGACAGCACCCCAAGUCCGCUACGGCGGCCCAAGGUGAGGUCAGUGACUGGGACU
This 1462-nucleotide ribosomal RNA is filed under the name uncultured bacterium. Its description in RNAcentral is "bacterial SSU rRNA". It matches the Rfam family "Bacterial small subunit ribosomal RNA". The record is from RNAcentral.